Molecule: small nucleolar RNA, 179 nt
Organism: Cyclopterus lumpus (lumpfish)
Lineage: Eukaryota; Metazoa; Chordata; Actinopteri; Perciformes; Cyclopteridae
Source: Ensembl
CCCUUCUCACUAAAGCACCCUGCUAAAACUGCAGGAGCCAAGCCUUACGGGUUUAGCUCAUGUGGCCGUGUAAGCAUGGGUACACCAGGGAAGGAGAUUGAAGGCACAGUGUUUGAAAUGAGGCUAUGGGGGGACCUUAAUGUCCAGUGUCCGUCGGCUCAAUAUCCUGUGUUACACAU